GACGAACGCUGGCGGCGUGCUUAACACAUGCCAGUCGAACGGAAAGGCCCUUCGGUGUCCUCUAGUGGCGAACGGGUGAGUGACACGUUGGUGAUCUGCUCUGCACUUUGUGAUAAGCCUGGGACACUGGGUCUAAUACCGAAUUGGCCCACGCUCUUCUUGGUGUGUGGUUGAAAGCUUUUGCGGCGUUGGUUGGGCCCGCGGCCUAUCAGCUAGUUGGUCGUGUACUGGCCGACCAAGGCGAAGACUGAUAGCCGGCCUGUGAGUGUGACCGGGGACACGGGGACUGAGAUACGGAGCAGAAUGCUACGGGAGGCAGCAGUGGGGAGUAUUGCACAAUGGGCGCAAGCCUGAUGCAGAGACGCCGGGUGAGGAAUGACGGCCUACGGGUUGUAAACCUAUUUGAAUGGGGACGAGGCGGAAGUGACGGUACCUAUAGAAGAAGCACCGGCUAACUACGUG
RNAcentral lists this ribosomal RNA (462 nucleotides) under uncultured bacterium. RNAcentral's name for it is "partial 16S ribosomal RNA". It matches the Rfam family "Bacterial small subunit ribosomal RNA", at positions 28 to 507 of the family's 1533-position model. The record is from RNAcentral.